RNAcentral lists this ribosomal RNA (508 nucleotides) under uncultured bacterium. RNAcentral's name for it is "partial 16S ribosomal RNA". It matches the Rfam family "Bacterial small subunit ribosomal RNA", at positions 28 to 507 of the family's 1533-position model. The record is from RNAcentral.
GACGAACGCUGGCGGCGUGCCUAAUACAUGCAAGUCGAACGCUUCUUUCCUCCCGAGUGCUUGCACUCAAUUGGAAAGAGGAGUGGCGGACGGGUGAGUAACACGUGGGUAACCUACCCAUCAGAGGGGGAUAACACUUGGAAACAGGUGCUAAUACCGCAUAACAGUUUAUGCCGCAUGGCAUAAGAGUGAAAGGCGCUUUCGGGUGUCGCUGAUGGAUGGACCCGCGGUGCAUUAGCUAGUUGGUGAGGUAACGGCUCACCAAGGCCACGAUGCAUAGCCGACCUGAGAGGGUGAUCGGCCACACUGGGACUGAGACACGGCCCAGACUCCUACGGGAGGCAGCAGUAGGGAAUCUUCGGCAAUGGACGGAAGUCUGACCGAGCAACGCCGCGUGAGUGAAGAAGGUUUUCGGAUCGUAAAACUCUGUUGUUAGAGAAGAACAAGGACGUUAGUAACUGAACGUCCCCUGACGGUAUCUAACCAGAAAGCCACGGCUAACUACGUG